UAGGAUGCACCAUUCUUGAGAUGGCAACAUCAAAACCUCCAUGGAGCCAGUAUGAGGGGGUGGCCGCAAUAUUUAAGAUUGCAAAUAGCAGUGAGAAUCCUGAACUUCCCAAUUACUUGUCAGAAGAUGCCCAGAAUUUUGUAAAACUUUGCUUGCAGAGGGAUCCAUCUGCACGUCCCACUGCUGUGCAACUGCUAAAUCAUCCCUUCAUCCAAAAUCAAGAUAUAGGAGAGGUUGCAAUUGCUAACUCUAAUGGUGAAGCCUUCUCUGCAUAUGGAAGACAUCCUAAGGUAUUGUUUGAGAUGAUUAGAUCUCUUUUAAAUUUCUUUUUUGCCACUUGAGUUCAGGACACUAUGCUAAAAUGCGCAUGUGUUCUUUUAAUUCCAAUUAGAUUCAAACUAUUAUCAUAUCUGCAGGGAUGAAGUAUCAAUCUGUGACAGCUGCUUUCUCUCUUCCUGUUACCCUCUUGAAUGUCCAGCAGGACUCACGGUAUUAAUUCCCAGUCACCAACCCGACAAUUCUGUGAAGACCACAGAGAACAAACCAGUGCGAAGCUUGCCAAUGAACUAGAAUGCAAAGAGUUCUCACUUAAUCACUUCAAAUAUUAAAGUUGGGAUGAAUCCACCGCUUGACUAGUAACUCAUGGUGGGAUACCUGCCAUGUUGGUGGCCAGAGCUCAAAGUUCAAACGGGUAAAAUAUGUUUAGGAUGAAUUCGUCCUCUGCUUCUUAGCCUUCCCGCCAAAUGGCCAUGUCCGUGUCCAGCUAACAUCUUGAAUAAACUUGACAAGUUUUGACAAACAGAAUUGAAAGAAUUCUGGCAUUGACAAAAUGUUGUGAAUGGAUACUCCAGUUUGAAUGAUUUUGUACAAAAGAUCUCUGUAAAGGAAAAUAAAAAUGUACAUAAUUUUCUUGUAUAUUGCUGGGUAAACGGAGGAAGUUGGGUCUUCUUGGGCUCCGGCAGCUGUAGAGCACCCUGGAUUUCUGCAGUUCCCUUGCGAUGCAAACCAAUUCCUUCAUUAUGCACUGUUGAUCAUCAAA
RNAcentral lists this unclassified non-coding RNA (1039 nucleotides) under Hevea brasiliensis (rubber tree). The record is from RNAcentral. Lineage: Eukaryota; Viridiplantae; Streptophyta; Magnoliopsida; Malpighiales; Euphorbiaceae.